UUUUUAUUAGUACUCUAAUUUUAAUAUUUUAAAAUUAAUGCUUUUGAUGGAUACUUCAUGGAAAACGCUAAUCCUCCUAAAAGUCAUGCCACUGAUUCUGUUCAAAAAGUUGAUUUACUGUUGACAACAAUGUUGACAUCUAUGGCAACAGCACAGAGUCUAACUUUACUGCAGGAUUUGUUUUCCAAGAACUCUGGAACAACUGCUGAGGUUAUAGGCAUUUACCUCUCACUUUUAAAACACUGGCUAUUAAAUUUUGCUUACACACACAUUUGGGAGGAUGCUGUUCUUUGUACAUCUUUUGUCCCAUUUCUAGACAAGCUGCCAGAGUGAGAACAAGCCCUUGGGCUCUGCUCCAAGCUAUGCUGCUGUUCCAACGAAAACUGCAGGUAGGACAGAAUAGCACAGCAGCAGGAGUAUACAGAAAGACAAGUGGGGUCUAUCUAUUCGGAAAGGUGGGACUUGCUCGGCCUAUCGUUUAUUAAAACAACAUCCCAAAGGGGCCUGUCAUGACCAAAUAAAGAGAGAAAUAGUAAAUCGACUAAUAAAGAGUUACAAUGUUAGAAGGGCAGCAGCAAAAAUUAAUCAUGGAAAGAACCAAUAUGGUUCCUGUGUCAGACAAAGAUCUAGGAGACUCAGAUUCAAAUCUACACUGUGCCACAGGAGUUUGUUGGGUGACCUUGGGGCAGCCACACUCUCUUAGCCUAACCUGCUUCUCAGGAUUGUUGAUAAAAUGGAGAAGAGAGUGGUGUAAGCCACUCUGAGCCUUUAUUCGGGAGAAAGGUCCCGUAUAAAUGAAGUAACUGAAUAAGCAAACAGUUCUUAAAGAUAACAGCCAAAACAAAACCCACAAUCAGUAAAAAGCCAUUAAAAAUAGCUAUGUCAGCACCAAAACACACAUAAACACCCAAAAUGUAACAGAGGACAAAGCCAUCAAACGUUCUCCAGAAUAAGACCAGACGGGCCAAGGGGAGCUUCCUGGUUUCAACAGCCUGGGAACCACCACUGAAAAGAAGUCCGACCUCACACACAGCCACCAAGCUGUGUAGACAAUGACCUGGAAGUGGAGCACGAGUCCCCUUAGAGCAGGGAGUCUUGUGGAGCUGGGUAAAUAUUGUGAGUCAUUUUCAUGUGAUGUCUGAAAUGAAGCUAGGUGGUGAGAGAAGAGACCAGGGAAAAACAUUUUCUACAAAGCUUUGCCGAUUCUCCACAGCCUUGUUUCCCCAUAUUCACCAACCUCUACUCUUCUCCAUGGAGAGCACAGCAGGGAGGAAAACAGAAAGACUUCAUGAAAUGCCUGAAAGUGGAGGCCCAGAUCUUGCUAGGCUCUGUUGUCAUGUAUAUCACAAUCAAGGAAGAUAUUUAAAAAAUGGAGUCUAGUUUCUCCUGUCUGGUGUCAGGUUAAUGUCUUUAACUAAACUAAGGGACUAAUAAAAUACUAGUUAAUGUAUUUCACAUAUGCCUAUAAAUGUGCUUAGUUUACUCCAAAUAAAGUUUACAGUUUAAGCUGUUCUGUUUUGAGCAGUCACCCAUAUGCAAUUAUGCUUUUCAAAGUCUCCUGGGCACCUUGGACUAGUUUUGAAAGCAGAGUAAAGGAUUCUGAACAUUAGGAGAUCACCCAGUGGUAAACGAAGGAAGGUAUACAUCGUAUUUUCUAAAUUCUAUUUCUACCUAAUAAUGCCUCUUCACCUAAUUUUAAAUAAAGUGACCGUGUAGCAGAAAUUUAUAAAUUAGGUGACUUUCAGAAUAUUGUUAGCCUACUUUCAGAUAAAGAUUAAACAACAUUUUCUGUUCUUUUUAAAAAAGGUAUCUUUAUUGCAUACACACUUACCAAGGGUGGGUGGGGCAAGCAACUAAAGGAUUUGGGGACCAGGCCCUGAAGAAUUUAUCUCUGGCUCAACUUGAAAUAUUUUCCUAGCUCUGAUUUCAUAGAGUACCCCCAGAAGCAAUAAACUCCUUCCUGAUUCAUAUCACAGAUAAAUAAGAAUGUUGUUGGGUUUCAGGUGAUUAAAAUCAUUUCUAAAUGCAUAAGCUAUUUUCUAUAGCUGGAAUGGAUGUUUCAGAUGAUACAAAAACAUUCUUAAGAAAUACAGAUCUCCUCAUUCAUAAUCAUUAUCGGUAUGGUGAGUUAGCAGAAGGCUGUUAACGUUUCAAUUAGACAAGCCUGUUAAAUUAGCCAGGCAAUAGACACAUCUGGUACAAACUAAAGGUUUCUGGAAAUAUCAUAUUA
Long non-coding RNA from Sphaerodactylus townsendi, 2230 nucleotides. RefSeq lists it as uncharacterized. The record is from RefSeq and is a predicted model, not a curated record. The transcript has 3 exons. NCBI's taxonomy places the organism in Eukaryota, Metazoa, Chordata, Lepidosauria, Squamata, Sphaerodactylidae.